UAUCCAACAGUUAACUGAAUAUUUAGUCAAUCAAACAAUUAACAUUUAACAAUUUUUCAAAAUAUGACUUUUUUAAUAUUCAAAUUUCCCCCCAUAACCAGAUUGAGCGCCAUAAUUGCGAGGCUUCUGGAAAGGGUAACAAUCAGCCAUUGUUGCCUUAACCUUAAGGACAAUUUUUUAAUGCAUAAUUGUCUCAUUUUAAUUGUUUUUUCUUGAAUUCAGCUCUUGAUUGAUAAUUUAUUUAAUUAUCUAGUAACUUAUAUCUUUUACUUUAACCAUUUGUGAUACUAUUUGGAUUUAUUUUUAGUGUUAAUUGGUUACAAUCGUGAAUGAAAUCGGGUAUAUUGCAUAAGCUAUACCCUUUUGACUCAAUGUGUUACUGUCUAAACGGAAUGAAGCUAACGUAAUUUGACUUUCAUGGAUCAGUAAAUUGUUAUUAUUGACUGUUGAUAUUCAAAUUAGUUUCAUAUUCAAGUUUUUUAACAAAAAUUAAGAAUUGAAAGCAAAAAUCAUUUUCUUCAAAUGAUUUCAAGUAGCUUUUUCACCUUUUUUUACUUCAACCAUCAUUAUAAUCAACUGCAAAAUUCCUAACCUCACCUUUAAAAUGAAGUAAUCAAGUAGAGAUAAAACCUUUUUUUCUCUUAUUGUGAUUAUUGUGAUUAUUAUUACUAUCGUUAUUAUGAUCAUUUCACUCUCUUGACCUGAUUGAAAUCAAAUUUCACUCUGAAUUAUAUGUAUCAAGUGAACAUCAUUUUUAUUACAGAUAAAUACAAUAAAAAAGCUAAGCAGUUCUCAAUGACCCUAACGAUAUUUUACUCCUACCCGGCCUCUUGUCGAAUGGACUAAGAACCAAGAUCCUGGUUUCUCUCUUGGUUAUCCACUUAUUCACGGAAUCAGUCAGCAAAUAUGUAAUAUCAAGGAAUGAAAUUCCCAUCCAAAUACCAAAACAACUGGCAAUGUAACAAAGAUAUUCAAUCUCACCCAUUCGAGCUAAAUACUUAUAAGUAAUCUCAACCCCAAAAGGCCUUCUGACAAAUAGUUUGGUUAAAUUGGAUGGUGUUCGCUUCUCUAUUGCAGCUAUCAACGUGGUCGAGUACCAAUAGUUAGUGCACUGGUUUUUACACUCAUCACUACACCUAUUGUCACCCAUCACAGCAGUACAAUUUUUACCUCUUAAAGAAAAGCUUCUGUUACAAUUUACAUCAGCUGGUACAUCCCAGGGCCAGAUCUCCGAGCAAAGAGAUUCUGCUCGAGCCUUGCGACAGUCAAAAAUACAACCAGUCCUUCCAUAUUCUGCACCAGUAUAAUCAUAGCAAUCAGUUCGAUAAGGUGAUGGCAACAAUUCUGUAAUUAUUUUGGAAGUGGUGAGAAUCAUGUUUUCCGUUUGCUCAGUAUAAAAAUUGAAAGAAUCAGCUUCAGCAACAUGAAGUAUCUCCAUUGGAUUGUGGAUGAACGCGACAACUGUAGUUUUAUUUGUAUUGGAAACCAGAAUGUCCAAAUAAGAUGCAGAUUCUGUGUAAAUUUCUAUUUUGUAGAAAUCUUUAUCAUCAGCCUUGACCACCUGAUAGGGCGAAGGUAGUGUCGGUGAAAAGAAGAAGGUUGAACAAUGAAAAAAAUCAUCUUGUGCCGGGUUAAAAUGUAUGGUGUUUUUUAUCUUUGCGAAAUGUUCACAAUUUUUUGGAUCAGAUUUGUACUCUUCUAGAGGUGUCAACUCGGGAAAUGGUGCUUUACAAAAUAUCUUUACUGGUGUCGUUGGAAGUUUGGCCAGCACAUUGAUUGGUACAUAUCGAAGGGCAGAAAAACUCGCGUUCUCUUUGUUUUUCCAGUCGAUUAGUUCCUCUGAUUGUGGAUAAUGUAAUUUCAAAAUAGUUUCAUUGUAAAUAAGCUGGAUGCACAUUGUUAAACCUGGCAUCGUGAUAUUUCGAGGAGAUUCAAUAAUCAUGUCAACCUGCGUUUGAUAUUCAAAAUAGAUGUUCGAGAUUUGUUGAACCUGCCAGGCUAAACCACAUGAAGAUAAAACCCAGCAGAAAAAUCGUAUCAUGGUGGUGGACUUAUGAUAUCUUCUUCUGAUUGCCAUGAUGGUUUCCAAUGAUGCUUUUAAACCGAUCCUUGGUUUUCAAACAGAAUGAAUUUGUUGCCUUGAUUGUUAAAUUGGAACAACUUGAUUACAUAUUAUUUCCACUUUCAGGAGUUUCACUCUGAUUAACACUUAAAUCACUGGUUAACCUGACAGAAUUCAUUUGAUUUCACUUUUCCAACCUGACCUGGUCCUGAGUUUUUAAAUUGUUUUCUCACACCUUGUUGUUGUUUGCUAAUUGAUGGCAAAACUUAAAUAUCACCAAGAAGUCAAUUGAAGGUUAAUUUAUCUAAUUCAUCUCAAAGACUCACAAAAAUAUGAUUAUUUCAUUGUUGAACCUUUUCUGAGUCUAACAUUUUACAAAACCAAUUCAUUAUUUUAAGGCAACAAUCGAUUGAUUUUUUUGCUAUUCUUUGACACCUCUUUUAUUACCCUGCUUAUUAAGACUAUUAAUUGAAAAAUACAUUAUUUAUAUUUUUGUCUGAAAAAAGAGUGAAAAGUAGGAGCAAAAUGGAAUACAAAAUUGAUCGUUUCAACUGUCUUGAUGUUAGUCAACUUAUUGAUUGAAAUAUCUCUGUGAUUUUCUUACUCUGAUGUGAGAAGAUCAAUUAAAUGUACAAUUGAUUGAUUGUUGGAGCUAAAUUUUCUUAACAGAUUUUUCAUUUGUAAUCAUUAAUCUUUUGUGAAAACAGUUCUUUUACCCUAAAAAUAUCAGAAAUAGUCAACGAAAGAACCGUUAAUUUCAUUUAAUGUUUAAAUUGUUUUCACUUUUGGGUCAUUCCAUUUUCCCUAGUAACUUAUUUUCCUCCAAAUUUGUCUUCAAAAUUAUAAUUGCUUCAACGUCAUUGAUUGCAGCUAUUAAAUACUAUUUGUUAUA
Tetranychus urticae (two-spotted spider mite) is the source of this 2954-nucleotide non-coding RNA. Lineage: Eukaryota; Metazoa; Arthropoda; Arachnida; Trombidiformes; Tetranychidae. The record is from RefSeq and is a predicted model, not a curated record.